CCCCGUUAUUCAUCAGUGGAAAUAGCCAGUGUUUAAAAAGAAGUAUGCAGCAAAUUAUUCAUCAUUGUACAACAUGAAUACCACACGCCAAAACAACUUACACUGCUUGACUUAGUAAAAAAGGACUGAAUGUUUUUUUGUGAAAAGAUAGCGCUGAAUUCUUGUUGAAUCUGUUAGCACAGUCAACCGCACAACAGCUUUUUCCCAUUUUAGAUACGUUUUUUCUGUGUUUUUGCGGAAUUCACGCUUUUUGCCACUCAGUGGGCGUGACCGCAGUGAGUCACAGCUACUGUGAUGUCACAUGCAUACCCUCUAUAACUGAAAAAAAGAGUCUAGUUUUCUAGCAAAAAUGAGAGGAAAAAAAGGUAUGUAUUCUGAUUGGCUAAUCCUGUUUGUCUUCACAGUAGCUAAUAGCCAAUCAAAUAUCCAUCCAUCCAUCCAUCCAUCCAUCCAUUUUCUGUACAGCUUAUUCUUACUGGGUCUCGGGGAACCUGGAGCCUAUCGCAAGGGGCAUGGGGCACAAGGUGAAGGGAAAUCCUGUACGGGGUGCCAAUCCAUCACGGGGCACACUCACACACAUACACACACUACGGACACUUUGGACAUGCCAAUCAGUCUACAAUGCAUGUCUUUGGACUGGAGGAGGAAACCCCCAAAGCACAGGGAGAACAUGCAAACUCCACACACAGGGCCACGGUGAGAAUCAACACCCCAACCCUGGAGGUGUGAAGCAAAUGCGCUAACCAAAAAAAAAAAAAAAGGGGGGGGGGGGGGAUUUAUUCGGCGUUUUGGGAAGGUUAAAUAGAGUAAUGGUAACUUAUUGAACAUCAUUUCAGCGCAAUUACUGUGCAAAACAUUUACGUGACAUUGCAUAACAUGUUUGCGCAUUAAUUUUGCUGUUUAUAAUAGGUGUAUGUCAACCAUCCAUUCCGACGUUCUUUUACAAUUAUUACUUGUCACGCUGUACGACAAGAUCCCACUAAGAAUUCUUUCAUAGACUGUGCAAUAACAUGUUCUUCAUGUUAGAUUAAAUGAUGAUGAUAGCUACUAUUCUCUGCCAUACUGGGUUUGCAGCAACGCAACACAGGUUGUCCUUUAUGAUGUGGAAUUGUGCCUGUGACAGCAAAGUCACAGUGUAAAGCCGGUGCAAAAUCCUGUAAAUUCAGGGGGGAUGUUUGUAUCCUACUACAUCUCCUGAGUUGUGUGAAAUGGCUAAAAGAACAAAAAUGACGAGUAUCGUUCUUUCUAGACCGAAUGGACAGACGAAUCUGCAUAUUUGGAAGUUGCAUUUAUGGUAAGUAGUGUUCAAUUUACUCUUACUUGGGUACUGCAUCUUGUAUUGAUUUACCAUUUGAUGAAAUGAUCAUAACUGGUUAAAUGAUGUUCAAGUGCCACCUACAGGCCUAUUAGGUGAAGUGCAGGCUGUUAGGUCAAGAACUCUCAAACUGCCUGUAUUACAUUACCACUUUUUUAUUUUAUUUUUAUAAUUAUGCAAUAAUAGUAAAGAUAAUAACUAUAAUAAUAAGAAGACAUAUAUAAAAACAUAAACUUUUAUCUGGCUCUUUAAAGAAAAAAAUCAUAACUUUUUUUUUUUUUUUUUUGGCUUUAUGGC
Molecule: long non-coding RNA, 1612 nt
Organism: Ictalurus punctatus (channel catfish)
Lineage: Eukaryota; Metazoa; Chordata; Actinopteri; Siluriformes; Ictaluridae
Source: Ensembl